This is a long non-coding RNA of Myxocyprinus asiaticus (Chinese sucker), 2425 nucleotides long. RefSeq lists it as uncharacterized. The record is from RefSeq and is a predicted model, not a curated record. NCBI's taxonomy places the organism in Eukaryota, Metazoa, Chordata, Actinopteri, Cypriniformes, Catostomidae. The transcript has 5 exons.
CAACGUCACGCGGAGCCGCAGCCAUGAAGCAGAUGACCAAAGCGCCAGACAACAUUCGAGAGCGCACGCAGCUCGCACGCGCACAAUUAUCAAUUGCAAUCCGUCCUUCUGAUCAUUGAUGCUCGUGGCCUGGAGAAAGCCGUUAUGAGAGAGAUUUUGCAUGAGGGGCACGUUACACAGGUCCCAGUUCAACCCUUGUUGGGUUUCUCAGAUGGUGGAAGAGGACAGGUGGCCGGAGGGGUUGGCUGUUAUCUUUGGUUAUCUAGCUGUAUGAGUGAUAUUCAUUCUUCAUAAAGCUAGAUAACCGAAAGUAACAAGAAUCCCAUUACACACCUGAAAGGCAUCACCCACCUUGUGAUCUGUACUCCUCCCUUCCCCUCUUCUCUUUUCUUCCCUAAGUCUCUCUCUCUCUCUCUCUCUCCCUCAAUCUCUGCAUCAUCUUGUGAGAGCAAGUCACAAAAUGGCUUCCAUCAGUACUGAUAGGAAAGACUGACAAUCAGUCUCUCCAUGAUGCCAGGAAAAGAAAACGGUGAAGAAAGCGGGGCAGGUCAGUUGUGUUGCAGUUUUCCCAUUCUGAGUCCUGCUGGCGUUGCUGCUCCCCUCCCCUUUGCUGCUCGCCUGCCCCCUUCCUCUCAUCACAAGAUGCAGCUUGCACAAAGCCACCAUCUUAGAGCAUGUGGGCAUUAAAUGGAUGUGGAAAAUAAGCAGUUUUUCAAUUCGAGUCGAAUAUCCUGGAAUCCAUUAAAUGAAGGGUUGAUUCGAGUACCGACUGCUGAUGGAGUCACACGGGUUUUUUACUAUGCAUGUGCCCCAACAUCAGAUAUAAAUAGCACUUUAAUUGUUCAUUAUAACUUCAAUCUUGGCAUUUGGGAAACCUUUAGUACCUACUGUUACAGGGGCCAUAUGUUCCAUGAGUCGUGUGUGUUUGUUUGAUGUGUGUUUCUAAUUUUCAGUGUGUGUGUGUGUGUGUGUGUGUGUGUGUGUGUGUGUGUGUGUGUGUGUGUUGACUGUCAAGAAGAUGGGAGGGGAUAAUGCAAGAAACUUACUGUUAUACAUGUGUGGGUCAAAGUACACAAAUUGUGUAUUUCAACAAACACACUUAGAAUUCUCAGCGUAAAACGGUUCUAUUCAAAUGGUUCUACUGUGGAGUUUUUGUAGAAAAUGAGUCUUAAAGGUCAAUCAUUUAAGUACAUUUUUUGGCAAAAAACAAGGAAAAUUAAAUAAGAGAAAGAUUAGGCUAUAAAUCUUAAAAACAAAUUUAAGGCAGGUCAACACUAAUAUGUCUUGGUAGACUGUUAUGAGUACAAUCUUGAGCAUAGUGCACUUUAUAAAGUCACAUUUUUUCACACAGAUUUUUUUUUUCUCAAUAGAUUUCAAUAUUAAAAGGAAAAUGUAGAGACUGCUGUUCUAGAAACUGGCUUGUUACUUUCUGUGUGCAUCCUAAUGUAUUUCUCUAAUAACUGAUUAUUAAUUGAAAUAAUAAUGUAUACUGUAACAAUGUGUGAGGCUCGGUAGAUUCUGCAUGUAUGAAUGUGAGACCCACGGCAGCAGUGAACAGUACUGCACUCUGAUUGGACAGCUCAGUGUGUUGUGCAUCACACACUUGUUGGAAAGAGAGCUGUUGUCUUUAAUUUCUAUGCAAUUGCGUUGAGCUUGCAAUCACCUGAAAGAGAAUGCAGAUCAGAGCAGUUGAUUAUGACUCAAACUACUUUACUUGAGACAUUUACUGACAGUAGAUUAAAUCUGUUUUAAAGUGAGAGGAAGAGAAAAUGUUAAGCUGUUAUAUGCCCACUAAAACAAGUUUCAAUAAACUAUAAACUAAACAUCCUUUUAGCUUUUAUUUUUUUAUGUUAAAAUGUAGUUUCAGGACUCAGUUUUAAAGGGGAUUAAAUGCUCUGUCUCUCUGUAUUUUGUAUUACAAUCAAUUAAGAGAAAAAUCACAAUUGCUAUGCAAAUGUUAUAAAGUAAGAAUUUAUUAGAGUUUGAAGAGAACUGUGCAAUCUAUUUUAUAAACAGUUUUAUUUCUGAAAAUUAUUUUUUAUGCAGCAAUAUUUUAUCAAAAGAGAUCUGUUUUAAAUGUGACAAAUCAAGUGAAUGUGAAGACAAUGAAUUUAUUAAAUGGGGCUUUUUACUAUGCAAUUUUUUAAAAUCUUCAAUAAUUGUGUGUUCUUUGUGUAAUUAUGUAACGAGUCAUGAUUUUCAGUUGGUCAUAGCUCUGUAGUAUUAAUGCUAAUAAUUAAAAUCAUGUUUUCAUUUAAUUUUUAACUCUUUGAUUUUAUUCUUUUCCCUAUUGUAUGUUUCUUUCAAGUUGCUGAUGAGUGCAAAUGUGAGAUUGUUUUGUAUAUUAUUUUACACAUUUUUGUAGUAUCACCAUGUGCCUUUUAACAAUGUCCUGUUAUGGAUAUUAAUAAAAGUUUACUUUGAA